UGAAGAGGAAACAGUGACCUUUCUCCUUCGGCUGCAGCCCUGUUGCCCAAGCUCAGGGCAACCCCUGAGCCCUGAUCCCAAGGGAGGCAGUGCCGCCUUCUCCUCUAGGCCUGGCAGUUCCAGGGUGACAGGAAGGUCACGAUAUCUCUGUUUGGGUGCACUGCAGCCUCCGCUUCCUGCCAGGACCAGGCUGUAUCAGGCACUGGGAUGAAGAAAACAUUCCAAGCAAUGGGCUGGCCUAGAAGACUCUCCAGGUCAUGAUGUGACCAAGGUUGCCCCUUGCCACUCCCAGCUUUAUUCUCACCAGCUCAGCAACCCCAGGGAAAAGGGAGCACCAAUUUCCAAUUGUUUCAGAACAAGGAAACUAUUGCUGCAUCCCAAGAGUCCCGCAUGCAGUAGCUCAUCAACUGGUCACAAGGACGUUAGAGGUGGGUG
This 435-nucleotide long non-coding RNA is filed under the name Homo sapiens (human). Its description in RNAcentral is "HSALNT0401562". The record is from RNAcentral. Lineage: Eukaryota; Metazoa; Chordata; Mammalia; Primates; Hominidae.